GGCAUUCAAACUCAAGUGAAGAUUUCUUGAUCACCAGUCAUGAGGGAAGGCUAGCCUGAGGUGAUUACGCUGGGCUGCAAAGGAUGAUGGCCAAUUAGGAGGGUCAAAAUGAGAUUGGUUGGAGCCAUGUUAGUGCGAUGGGACGUUGAUAGAAGUCUUGGGUCAAUCUAGCAAUGGACCUAUCGAAAGACUAGAGCAGGAGGUAGUAAAACCAUGCACUUGAUUUUGAAAGGUAAGUAUGUAUAAUUACGAUUUGAAAUGCAAUUAAUUUCGGAACUACUAGGUGUGUAUAUGUGGAAGAAAC
Molecule: long non-coding RNA, 304 nt
Filed under: Setaria italica (foxtail millet)
Lineage: Eukaryota; Viridiplantae; Streptophyta; Magnoliopsida; Poales; Poaceae
Description: long non-coding RNA (SITA_LNC006039)
Source: RNAcentral